AGAGGCUCUGAUCAGCCUCUUCCUCUCUGCUCCACACAGGUGCUGGCCAUGUUGCAGCAAGGAAGACAGACAAGAAUCCCAGUCUCCUGGAGUUCAUGCGCUAGCACCGUGGUAUAUCUAAUAAGCGAAUAAAAAAUAUCAGGAGGUGAGGAAUGAUAUGGAGGACAUUAAAAAUGACUUCAAAAACUUAAUGAAGUUUAGCAGAGAUCCAGAUCUUGCAAAGACUCUGAGACCGAAGGGCCCGUGGGCCUGGGUCUCCUGUACAGACCACAGUAAGCCUGGACCCACCACUCUGACUCUAAAUCCCAUUCGGCUUCUUAAUGCCAUUCACCUUUUGGUUUAAUUUCUUUUAAAGACAUUACAAAUCCAGAAGCAAGAAGAAAAAUUAAAUUGCAGAAGAUUAAAAGCAAAACAAAACCAGCAAAGUCCCUCUGACAUGCAGAUGGGCAAAGAUCAACCACACACGCAGGGUCUUGGCCACACCUGGAGCGUUCGGGCCCUCAAACCUGCCCAGUGGGGUCUGUGCUUCUCUGCUCACUUGCCUGCCUCUCCCUCCCUCCCUCUCCCCCUUCUUCCCUACCUUCCUAAUUUCUAUAUUUUCUAAAAUAUUUC
Molecule: long non-coding RNA, 612 nt
Filed under: Marmota monax (woodchuck)
Lineage: Eukaryota; Metazoa; Chordata; Mammalia; Rodentia; Sciuridae
Source: RNAcentral